GACAGAGGGUGCAAACGUUGUUCGGAAUUACUGGGCGUAAAGCGCGUGUAGGCGGCUUGGCAAGUCGGGUGUGAAAGCCCUGGGCUCAACCCAGGAAGUGCACUCGAAACUGCUCCGCUCGAGUAUCGGAGAGGAAAGCGGAAUUCUCGGUGUAGAGGUGAAAUUCGUAGAUAUCGAGAGGAACACCGGUGGCGAAGGCGGCUUUCUGGACGAUUACUGACGCUGAGACGCGAAAGCGUGGGGAGCAAACAGG
This 253-nucleotide ribosomal RNA is filed under the name uncultured bacterium. Its description in RNAcentral is "partial 16S ribosomal RNA". It matches the Rfam family "Bacterial small subunit ribosomal RNA", at positions 524 to 776 of the family's 1533-position model. The record is from RNAcentral.